GUGAAUCAUCAAAUUUUUGAACGCAAAUUGCACUCUCCUCUAAGAGUAUGCCUGUUUGAGGGUCAGCCUAUAAAAAUCCACAUCCUUGCUGUUUCGCGGUGGCUUUCGUCGAAGAUUGGGGCAUCUUAAAUCUUUUGGUUUUACGCUACUUAACAUUUUCUUUUUGUUUCCAUGUACGUUUCUAAGAUUUAUUUCUUUACACGUUUAAGCUAUCAAUUUUUAUUAGACGUGACCAUCAUCUCGGAUCACGAAUAUACUCUUUCAUUAACUAACCACAUACAGG
Molecule: unclassified non-coding RNA, 283 nt
Filed under: Glomus sp.
Lineage: Eukaryota; Fungi; Glomeromycota; Glomeromycetes; Glomerales; Glomeraceae
Description: partial contains 5.8S ribosomal RNA and internal transcribed spacer 2
Rfam family: 5.8S ribosomal RNA (bases 1-65)
Source: RNAcentral